Gasterosteus aculeatus aculeatus (three-spined stickleback) is the source of this 467-nucleotide long non-coding RNA. NCBI's taxonomy places the organism in Eukaryota, Metazoa, Chordata, Actinopteri, Perciformes, Gasterosteidae. The record is from Ensembl.
GGAGGUAAAGGAGGAGGAGGAGAUAAAGGAGGAGGAGGAGGAGGAGGAGGAGGAGAGCUUGCUUCCUCGUUGCAUUGAUGGUUGUCUUUGUAACAGUCAGUGUCAUUCAUCGGUUCAGGAGGAGUUGAACCCGCAACUUUGUUUCCAUCUAUGGAGCUCUAAAGGGGAGAGGGGCAAAGAGAUAAGGAGACAAGGAGGCAACGAGACAAUGAAACAAAGACAGAGCGACAAGGAUACAAGGAUACAAGGAUACAAGGAUACAGUGGUGUUGUGGCUCUUUUGAAUGAAACCCAUGAACUUAUAAUUAAUUAUAAUUAUUAACUUAAUUAAAUUAAGGUUCAGGGGAAAUAAUCUGCUGGUGAAACAGCGUCCAGUCGUAUGAAGGAGAACUUCAAUGUUCUCACACUGACGUGUAUUUCUGGGUCUUGAUGACGGAUGCGUGAUGACGGACGCCGUGAUGACGGACG